Molecule: long non-coding RNA, 681 nt
Filed under: Homo sapiens (human)
Lineage: Eukaryota; Metazoa; Chordata; Mammalia; Primates; Hominidae
Description: HSALNT0375804
Source: RNAcentral
GGAAGCAGCAAGCGUGCCUGGGCAGAGACCCCCAGAGUGUAAAGAGGUCCUGGGACAGGCUUUGCACGUUCCACAAGAGGAUUAAAGGAAAUAAUGUGUGUCCCAUGCUCAGCCCUGCACCUGCCACAGUAAGCACCUGGUGAGUGGGAGUAUCUGAUCUUGUUAUUGAGGAUGCAGAGGCCGACUCCCCUGUUCUCUGCUUCCUUCGCCCUCCCCUUGCCAACCUGCUUCAACACAGGAUCCUGCAGGACCUCCUCCUUUGCCAUAUGCUCCUUCAGCAGUUCUGUCUGCACAAUCCCCGGCCACAGAGACACACAGCUGACCCCAUGGCGCCGCAGCUCGUGGGCACAGUCAGCAGCCAGCUUGUCACACUGUGGAGAGGCGGAAGGCAGGGUAAGAGCCACCUAGCCAUGUCACUUUCCUGCCCUGCCCUCUCUGCUUCUACUGUGAAUGCUCCACCCACCCUGUCCUUCCCAGGAGCCCCAAGGUCUCAGCUGCCCACGCUCCCCAGUGUGAUGCCUACUCUAGCCAACCAAGAGGAGCACAAGCAAAGGAACUGUCCAUGGAUGAGGCAGAGGAGGAGCUGAGAGGAGCCAGCCUUACCAUUCUGACCACUGGGGAUUGUACCUCCUGAGCUAUAGUGUCUCGCUGUGUCGUCUAGACUGGAGUGCAGUGGUGUGA